AAAUGAAUAGACGGGGACUCGCACAAGCGGUGGAGCAUGCGGUUUAAUUCGAUGCAACGCGAAGAACCUUACCAGGUCUUGACAUCCCGUUGACAGGUCUAGAGAUAGAUUUUUUCUUCGGAACAACGGAGACAGGUGGUGCAUGGUUGUCGUCAGCUCGUGUCGUGAGAUGUUGGGUUAAGUCCCGCAACGAGCGCAACCCUUAUCAUUAGUUGCUAACAUUAAGUUGAGCACUCUAAUGAGACCGCCGGCGAUAAGCCGGAUGAAGGUGGGGAUGACGUCAAAUCAUCAUGCCCCUUAUGACCUGGGCUACACGCGUGCUACAAUGGCUAAUACAAAGAGUUUGCAAAACUGUGAAGUCAAGCUAAUCUCAUAAAGUUAGUCUCAGUUCGGAUUGUAGUCUGCAACUCGACUACAUGAAGUUGGAAUCGCUAGUAAUCGCAAAUCAGAAUGUUGCGGUGAAUACGUUCUCGAGUCUUGUACACACCGCCCGU
Molecule: ribosomal RNA, 494 nt
Filed under: uncultured bacterium
Lineage: Bacteria
Description: bacterial SSU rRNA
Rfam family: Bacterial small subunit ribosomal RNA
Source: RNAcentral